GACCGGCUGAAACACAUUGGUGUAGGCCAGAACUCCGCCUGAAAAGCGGAAGGUCGGCGGUUCGAUCCCGCCCCUGGCCACCG
This 83-nucleotide transfer RNA is filed under the name Mycobacterium sp. H4Y. Its description in RNAcentral is "tRNA-OTHER". Lineage: Bacteria; Bacillati; Actinomycetota; Actinomycetes; Mycobacteriales; Mycobacteriaceae. The record is from RNAcentral.